RNAcentral lists this ribosomal RNA (376 nucleotides) under uncultured bacterium. RNAcentral describes it as "bacterial SSU rRNA". It matches the Rfam family "Bacterial small subunit ribosomal RNA", at positions 355 to 723 of the family's 1533-position model. The record is from RNAcentral.
UGGGGAAUUUUGGACAAUGGGCGAAAGCCUGAUCCAGCAAUGCCGCGUGUGUGAAGAAGGCCUUCGGGUUGUAAAGCACUUUUGUCCGGAAAGAAAUGGCUCUGGUUAAUACCUGGGGUCGAUGACGGUACCGGAAGAAUAAGGACCGGCUAACUACGUGCCAGCAGCCGCGGUAAUACGUAGGGUCCAAGCGUUAAUCGGAAUUACUGGGCGUAAAGCGUGCGCAGGCGGUUGUGCAAGACCGAUGUGAAAUCCCCGAGCUUAACUUGGGAAUUGCAUUGGUGACUGCACGGCUAGAGUGUGUCAGAGGGGGGUAGAAUUCCACGUGUAGCAAUGAAAUGCGUAGAGAUGUGGAUGAAUACCGAUGGCGACCGCU